Medicago truncatula (barrel medic) is the source of this 522-nucleotide long non-coding RNA. RefSeq lists it as uncharacterized. The transcript has 2 exons. Lineage: Eukaryota; Viridiplantae; Streptophyta; Magnoliopsida; Fabales; Fabaceae. The record is from RefSeq and is a predicted model, not a curated record.
GUUUAGAAUUAGCAACUUGUUGGAAGGUGGUAUUAUUUCUGAGCAAGAAGAAUUUUCCAGUGGGCAAGUGGUGUGGUGGAAGCAACACAAGGAUGGUAGCAAGAGAAGCAGCUUGAUCAGCAGUAUACUUACAUCCAAAGAACCGAGUCUUGAGCUAACAUUGAGAAUACGUGUGAUGGAAGAAUUAGAAGAGGAGGAGCAACGAAAGAGGGGAAGAAGUGCCUCUAUAAGCAACUUGGGACCAUAGAAAUUUGUUUUCAUGACGUUUUCAGCAUGGUCCACUGAAUUCUCGUCGAGCUCAUUGAAUGAUACAGCCGCAUUGUUCACCUGAUCACAUACAAAAUUAAUUAGAUCAUUUCAUUUAUUUUCCUAUAGAAGAAGUUUUUACAAAAAACAUAUUUAUGUCAAUAAAAAAUUACAACUAGGUCCAUGUCUAGUCUAGGUCUUUGGUCUAAAGUGUGUAUUUAUAUCUUAUUGUAUCUUAUAAUUUUGUUUAAGACAAUGAAUAAUAUUGUUAUAGAA